CGAACGGGUGAGUAAUGCGUGACCAACCUGCCCCAUGCUCCAGAAUAGCUCUUGGAAACGGGUGGUAAUGCUGGAUGCUUCAACUUGACGCAUGUCUUGUUGGGAAAGUGUUUAGUGGCAUGGGAUGGGGUCGCGUCCUAUCAGCUUGUAGGCGGGGUAAUGGCCCACCUAGGCUUCGACGGGUAGCCGGCCUGAGAGGGCGGACGGCCACAUUGGGACUGAGAUACGGCCCAGACUCCUACGGGAGGCAGCAGGG
Molecule: ribosomal RNA, 256 nt
Filed under: uncultured Gardnerella sp.
Lineage: Bacteria; Bacillati; Actinomycetota; Actinomycetes; Bifidobacteriales; Bifidobacteriaceae
Description: partial 16S ribosomal RNA
Rfam family: Bacterial small subunit ribosomal RNA
Source: RNAcentral